AACGAACACUGGCGGCAUGUCUAAGACAUGCAAGGCGAACGAGUUCUUCGGGUCUAGUGGCGCACGGGUGCGGAACGCGACGGAAUCUGCGGUGUGGUUGGCAAGAACAGGUGGAAACGACUGCUAAUACCGGAUGAGGACAAAAUUCCAGAGAUUUAUGGCGAGAGGAUGAGUCCUGGUAGGAUUAGCUAGUUGGUGUGGUAAAGGCGCACCAAGGCGACGAUCCUUAGCCGGUCUGAGAGGAUGAUCAGCCACACUGGAACUGAGACACGGCCCAGACUCCUACGGGAGGCAGCAGUGGGGAAUAUUGGACAAUGGGCGAAAGCCUGAUCCAGCAAUGCCGCGUGAGUGAUGAAGGCCUUAGGGUUGUGAAGCUCUUUUACCCGGGAUGAUAAUGACAGUACCGGGAGAAUAAGCUCCGGCUAACUCCGUGCCAGCAGCCGCGGUAA
This 449-nucleotide ribosomal RNA is filed under the name uncultured bacterium. RNAcentral's name for it is "partial 16S ribosomal RNA". It matches the Rfam family "Bacterial small subunit ribosomal RNA", at positions 29 to 523 of the family's 1533-position model. The record is from RNAcentral.